AUGGCGACCGGCGCACGGGUGAGUAACACGUAUCCAACCUGCCGAUGACUCGGGGAUAGCCUUUCGAAAGAAAGAUUAAUACCCGAUGGCAUAGUUCUUCCGCAUGGUAGAACUAUUAAAGAAUUUCGGUCAUCGAUGGGGAUGCGUUCCAUUAGGCAGUUGGUGGGGUAACGGCCCACCAAACCUUCGAUGGAUAGGGGUUCUGAGAGGAAGGUCCCCCACAUUGGAACUGAGACACGGUCCAAACUCCUACGGGAGGCAGCAUG
Molecule: ribosomal RNA, 266 nt
Filed under: uncultured bacterium
Lineage: Bacteria
Description: partial 16S ribosomal RNA
Rfam family: Bacterial small subunit ribosomal RNA
Source: RNAcentral